Molecule: transfer RNA, 69 nt
Filed under: Hydromantes brunus (limestone salamander)
Lineage: Eukaryota; Metazoa; Chordata; Amphibia; Caudata; Plethodontidae
Description: tRNA-Lys
Rfam family: tRNA
About the family: Transfer RNA (tRNA) molecules are approximately 80 nucleotides in length. Their secondary structure includes four short double-helical elements and three loops (D, anti-codon, and T loops).
Source: RNAcentral
CAUUAAGAAGCUUUCAUAAAGCAAUAGCCUUUUAAGCUAGAGUUCGGUGUUUAUAAUCACCCUUAAUGA